CCAUAAAAUUAGCGUGUAAAAAUUAAGAGGCUUUAGGGAGAAAAUAAAAAUUUUGGUGCAAACACAUCCAAUGUGUCAUCCCUUAGUUUCCACAAGGAAUAAAUUCUUUAUAUAGAAGCUCUAGGUGUGGAAGAGCCUUCAAGCAGAAGGACUCCUCCACUUCUAUGCCAACAUAUCUCCAGGAGCCAUCACAUGGCACGUGGAGUAGAGGAAAUGCAUGGAAUAAAGGGAGGAAUUAAGAGUCCAAUGUGAAAUGGACUCUUCC
This 265-nucleotide long non-coding RNA is filed under the name Elaeis guineensis (African oil palm). RNAcentral describes it as "long non-coding RNA (EGUI_LNC072277)". Lineage: Eukaryota; Viridiplantae; Streptophyta; Magnoliopsida; Arecales; Arecaceae. The record is from RNAcentral.